GGCGGAUUAUACAUUAUAAUUUGAAAAGCUUAGUUAUAUGGCGGUUUUGUGUCCAACUAGAGAAACAUGUUUAUUGAUACGAAGCUGCACGAAUAUCUUACUUAUAUUUGCUUUACACACCGUCGUCGGAUAGAACUGUUUAGAAAAAUAGUUCUUAUUUACUUAACAGGUAAUAAGUCAGAUCAAGGCGUAGGUUAUAUAAGAUUGGAUGUGUCUCUAUAUAA
Molecule: ribosomal RNA, 224 nt
Filed under: Trabeculus schillingi
Lineage: Eukaryota; Metazoa; Arthropoda; Insecta; Psocodea; Philopteridae
Description: partial 12S ribosomal RNA
Source: RNAcentral